This 425-nucleotide ribosomal RNA is filed under the name uncultured bacterium. RNAcentral describes it as "partial 16S ribosomal RNA". It matches the Rfam family "Bacterial small subunit ribosomal RNA", at positions 354 to 796 of the family's 1533-position model. The record is from RNAcentral.
GUGGGGAAUAUUGGGCAAUGGGCGAAAGCCUGACCCAGCAACGCCGCGUGAAGGAAGAAGGUCUUCGGAUCGUAAACUUCUAUCCUUGGUGAAGAUAAUGACGGUAGCCGAGAAGGAAGCCCCGGCUAACUACGUGCCAGCAGCCGCGGUAAUACGCAGGGGGCAAGCGUUGUCCGGAAUGAUUGGGCGUAAAGGGCGCGUAGGCGGCCUGGUAAGUCUGGAGUGAAAGUCCUGCUUUUAAGGUGGGAAUUGCUUUGGAUACUGUCGGGCUUGAGUGCAGGAGAGGUAAGUGGAAUUCCCGGUGUAGCGGUGAAAUGCGUAGAGAUCGGGAGGAACACCAGUGGCGAAGGCGACUUACUGGACUGUAACUGACGCUGAGGCGCGAAAGUGUGGGGAGCAAACAGGAUUAGAUACCCGAGUAGUCC